This 123-nucleotide ribosomal RNA is filed under the name Chinchilla lanigera (long-tailed chinchilla). Lineage: Eukaryota; Metazoa; Chordata; Mammalia; Rodentia; Chinchillidae. The record is from RNAcentral.
GUCUAUGGCCAUAUCACUCAGAGCAUGUCUGAUUUUGUCUGAUCUCUAAAGUUAAGCAGGGUUGAGCCUGGUGAGUACUAGGACGAAAGUAACCCCAAACUGGAAACAAGGUAAAUAUCCAUU